UAAUACGAAGGGGGCUAGCGUUGUUCGGAAUGACUGGGCGUAAAGGGCGCGUAGGCGGCGAUGUAAGUCAGGCGUGAAAGCCCCGGGCUCAACCUGGGAACGGCGCUUGAUACUGCGUUGCUUGAGGACGGGAGAGGAUGGUGGAAUUCCCAGUGUAGAGGUGAAAUUCGUAGAUAUUGGGAAGAACACCGGUGGCGAAGGCGGCCAUCUGGACCGUUUCUGACGCUGAGGCGCGAAAGCGUGGGGAGCAAACAGGAUUAGAUACCCUGGUAGUCCACGCUGUAAACGAUGUGUGCUAGACGUUGGGGGUUAAGCCUCCGGUGUCGCAGCUAACGCGUUAAGCACACCGCCUGGGGAGUACGGCCGCAAGGUUA
Molecule: ribosomal RNA, 374 nt
Filed under: uncultured bacterium
Lineage: Bacteria
Description: bacterial SSU rRNA
Rfam family: Bacterial small subunit ribosomal RNA
Source: RNAcentral